CUCUUCAGAUCUGCAGUCACCUAUAAUGGUGGCUCACUAUCUGGAAGAUAAGAGAGAGAGCAGCUGAGGUUCAGACGGCAGAAAUACGGCUUGUGCCUUGCUCGGCUCGUCUUGCUCGGCUCGUCUUGCUCGGCUCGUCACGCGUAUUAUCUGCUGGAGGAAGUGACUCAGACUGGAUGUGCUUCUAGACUGUGACAAGCUGACAAAGCCAGCCAUCUCGAGGAUGAAACCUGAGAACAGGGAAGAAUUUGGGCCUUAGAGUUGUGUGCAGCAUCUUCCAGGCUCUUUAUUAAAAAUGGUCUUUUCUUCUAAAGGAGCAGCCUUGGCUUGGCUGUUAUCCAU
RNAcentral lists this long non-coding RNA (342 nucleotides) under Mus musculus (house mouse). RNAcentral describes it as "predicted gene, 49722". Lineage: Eukaryota; Metazoa; Chordata; Mammalia; Rodentia; Muridae. The record is from RNAcentral.